AUAAUCAGAAACUCUUUCCCUCACUUCGCUCAUUCUUCUCUCUCGUACUAAACUCGCUGGAAAUCGCCCGCCACGCCGGAGGCGGCGGAGCACGGCCAAAUCCUAGACUUAUUCCCUCAUCCUCCUUGCUUUGACCUCACAACCUCGAAUCUACCCUUAGUUUUCUUCAACUCCUCUUUCAUCUCCCUAAAUCUAAUCUAAUAGCAAAACCCUAAAACUUUGAAGACGAAAUUACACGCUCAAAACGAAGGAUCUCGCGCCGAUGCCAUGGGGGAAUUACUCAUGAAGACAUAAUCUAUGAACCGGUGGUGACAUAAAUGAAUCGACGAUAAAAUCAUAGCAUGAAGACGCGUGAUGCUCGAAUCGUAGAAUGAAAGGAUGUUCGUGAGGCUUACCUGGAGUGAUGUACAUGGGUCAAUGGCUGAAGAAAUCCAGAGAGGAGGCUCCAGCGACGAAAUUGCGAAAUAAACGCGAAAUCGAGUUGAAGCUUUUGUUUUAAAAUGGUGUGGAUCUUAUUAUGCAGGGCUGACAGCGAGAUGGCAUUUGCUUACAGACGGAACGAGAUUAUGAGCAUGGUUGCAAUUUGAGGCUCCGUGGUGUGCCUCAGAUCUGAUUCAAUGCAAGUACGAACUGGGCGUAUAUUGAAUGGAGUAUUGACAGGUUGUAAACUAAUAUAAUCUUUGAAUGUGUUUGUGGUAAUUUGUUCGAAACUGAACUGAAUGCGAACUGUCAUGGUAUGAACUUAGAGAUGGCGAUUGGAUUUGGAUUGUAUGGAAACAGCCGGGAUUAGCUUUUUCUGUUAGGAUCGGAAUGUAAACUUGGUUGAUUGAUGUUAGUUUGAAAUCAAAAAUCAAAAUGUUGGAAACUCAGUAUGCUAAGGAACUGUUAUUUUUUUGUUACGGCAAAUUGCCUGUGAUGCUUUGUGGAUUGUUUUUUGGUUUAUGGUAUACUUGGAAAAUGGAGGCACAUGUACAUGAUGAAGUGAAGACAUAAAUGGAGUAAAUGGAGUUAGGAUUUAGAGGAAAUGGGCAAGUGGUCAGUGGUCAAUUGUUGUGAAAAGUGUAUUUUUGAAUGUAAUUUCAUUUUCCUUGUAUUGUACACUUGAAUUUGAAAUGGUCUCUUGUAUCUUUGUAUGUUGACUUUUGUAAUGAGUUUAUAAUAAACUUCCUUGAUUCCCAUGUAACAAACUCCAUGUAACUCCAAGACUUUGAAUUUGAAAAGGAUUUCCUCCGUUUGCUACCA
This is a long non-coding RNA of Vicia villosa (hairy vetch), 1242 nucleotides long. RefSeq lists it as uncharacterized. The transcript is spliced from 3 exons. Lineage: Eukaryota; Viridiplantae; Streptophyta; Magnoliopsida; Fabales; Fabaceae. The record is from RefSeq and is a predicted model, not a curated record.